Molecule: ribosomal RNA, 670 nt
Filed under: uncultured bacterium
Lineage: Bacteria
Description: bacterial SSU rRNA
Rfam family: Bacterial small subunit ribosomal RNA
Source: RNAcentral
GGGGAUAAGCGGAAGAAAUUCCGUCUAAUACCGCGUAACAACGUUGGGAGGCAUCUCCCGAUGUUUAAAGAUUUAUCGGCUGCGGAUGGCCAUGCGGCGCAUUAGCUAGUCGGCGGGGGAACGGCCCACCGAGGCGACGAUGCGUAGGGGUUCUGAGAGGAAGGUCCCCCACACUGGUACUGAGACACGGACCAGACUCCUACGGGAGGCAGCAGUGAGGAAUAUUGGUCAAUGGCCGAGAGGCUGAACCAGCCAAGCCGCGUGAGGGAUGACGGCCCUACGGGUUGUAAACCUCUUUUGUCGGGGAGCAAAGGGAGUCACGUGUGACUCAUUGAGAGUACCCGAAGAAAAAGCAUCGGCUAACUCCGUGCCAGCAGCCGCGGUAAUACGGAGGAUGCGAGCGUUAUCCGGAUUUAUUGGGUUUAAAGGGUGCGCAGGCGGAGGUGCAAGUCAGCGGUCAAAUUGCGGGGCUCAACCCCGUACUGCCGUUGAAACUGCAUCCCUUGAGUGCGCGAGAAGUAUGCGGAAUGCGUGGUGUAGCGGUGAAAUGCAUAGAUAUCACGCAGAACUCCGAUUGCGAAGGCAGCAUACCGGCGCGCAACUGACGCUCAUGCACGAAAGCGUGGGUAUCGAACAGGAUUAGAUACCCUGGUAGUCCACGCAGUAAACG